This 505-nucleotide ribosomal RNA is filed under the name Alternaria sp. YIMPH30016. Its description in RNAcentral is "eukaryotic LSU rRNA". The stretch from base 140 to 293 matches the Rfam family "5.8S ribosomal RNA". Lineage: Eukaryota; Fungi; Ascomycota; Dothideomycetes; Pleosporales; Pleosporaceae. The record is from RNAcentral.
UCUCGGGGUUACAGCCUUGCUGAAUUAUUCACCCUUGUCUUUUGCGUACUUCUUGUUUCCUUGGUGGGUUCGCCCACCACUAGGACAAACAUAAACCUUUUGUAAUUGCAAUCAGCGUCAGUAACAAAUUAAUAAUUACAACUUUCAACAACGGAUCUCUUGGUUCUGGCAUCGAUGAAGAACGCAGCGAAAUGCGAUAAGUAGUGUGAAUUGCAGAAUUCAGUGAAUCAUCGAAUCUUUGAACGCACAUUGCGCCCUUUGGUAUUCCAAAGGGCAUGCCUGUUCGAGCGUCAUUUGUACCCUCAAGCUUUGCUUGGUGUUGGGCGUCUUGUCUCUAGCUUUGCUGGAGACUCGCCUUAAAGUAAUUGGCAGCCGGCCUACUGGUUUCGGAGCGCAGCACAAGUCGCACUCUCUAUCAGCAAAGGUCUAGCAUCCAUUAAGCCUUUUUUUCAACUUUUGACCUCGGAUCAGGUAGGGAUACCCGCUGAACUUAAGCAUAUCAAUA